Molecule: ribosomal RNA, 496 nt
Filed under: uncultured bacterium
Lineage: Bacteria
Description: partial 16S ribosomal RNA
Rfam family: Bacterial small subunit ribosomal RNA
Source: RNAcentral
GACGAACGCUGGCGGCGUGCUUAACACAUGCAAGUCGAACGGUGAAGGGACCGGUUUUUGCUGGUACUGGAGGCGUGGCGAACGCGGGAGUGACACGCAAGGAACCUGCCCCCUUCUUCGGGAUAACCGCAGGAAAGCUUAGCCUAUACGGGCAAUUGUCCGCCUGCUGCAUGGAGGGGGUGGGAAAGAUAUUGGUUCGGUGGGGGGCGGGCUCGGGGCGUAUCAGCUGGGUGGCGGGGUGAUGGCCUACCAAGGCGACGACGGGUAGCCGGCCUGAGAGGCGGAUCAGACACACUGGAACUGAGACACGGUCCCGACGCCUACGGGAGGCAGCGGGGGGGAAUAUUGGACAAUGGGCGCAAGCCUGCUCCAGCCAUACCGCGUGGGUGAAGAAGGCUUUCGUGUUGUAAAGCCCUUUUGUUGGGAAAGAAAAGCAGCAGGUUAAUACCCCGCUGUUCUGACGGUACCCAAAGAAUAAGCACCGGCUAACUUCGUG